This 492-nucleotide ribosomal RNA is filed under the name uncultured bacterium. Its description in RNAcentral is "partial 16S ribosomal RNA". It matches the Rfam family "Bacterial small subunit ribosomal RNA", at positions 28 to 507 of the family's 1533-position model. The record is from RNAcentral.
GAUGAACGCUAGCUACAGGCUUAACACAUGCAAGUCGAGGGGAAACGCCAUCGAAAGCUUGCUUUUGAUGGGCGUCGACCGGCGCACGGGUGAGUAACGCGUAUCCAACCUGCCCAUCACUUGGGGAUAACCUUGCGAAAGUAAGACUAAUACCCAAUGAUAUCUCUAGAAGACAUCUGAAAGAGAUUAAAGAUUUAUCGGUGAUGGAUGGGGAUGCGUCUGAUUAGCUUGUUGGCGGGGUAACGGCCCACCAAGGCAACGAUCAGUAGGGGUUCUGAGAGGAAGGUCCCCCACAUUGGAACCGAGACACGGUCCAAACUCCUACGGGAGGCAGCAGUGAGGAAUACUGGUCAAGGAGCGAGAGCCUGAACCAGCCAAGUAGCGUGCAGGAAGACGGCCCUAUGGGUUGUAAGCUGCUUUUAUAAGAGAAUAAAGUGAGAGUCGAGACUCUUUUUGUAUGUACCUUAUGAAUAAGGACCGGCUAAUUCCGUG